Long non-coding RNA from Benincasa hispida (wax gourd), 488 nucleotides. RefSeq lists it as uncharacterized. The record is from RefSeq and is a predicted model, not a curated record. NCBI's taxonomy places the organism in Eukaryota, Viridiplantae, Streptophyta, Magnoliopsida, Cucurbitales, Cucurbitaceae.
UUCAAAUUCCUUUGCCACGGUCCGAGCCUCGAUACUCAAAACUUGCCUCUAUAUAAGAGCAUUGAGACCCAGCAAUUCAUUCAGCAUAGUCUUUAGAUACUUGCAAUAUCUCUUCAGUAAGUUGGUUCCAGGAGCUCAUCCAUGGGGUCUUUGAAGGCUGAAAAACCUGCAAUGGGAGCUCAACAAGUUGGGCAAUCUAAGAAGGAAGCUAAGCCUAGCGAUGCUGCACCGAAAGCUUCGGCGUCAAAGUCCAAUUCAGCCUCGAAGAAUCCUGCACAAAGAUCUCAAGAGGUCCCUAAAAAGAGGAAAGGGCGCAAGUCCGCUGCAAAGAACUAAACGAAAAAAGGCUGUUUCCAUUUGCUUGCACGAUGAGCUAAGGCAAAUCACCAUUCUAUGUUAAUCUACUUUGUUGUGUAUAUCUUUGUAUUUUAAUCAGUGUGACAAGAGUGGAGCUCUCAUAUCUGAAAUAAAAAAUAUGUUUCACUUAA